UAGGGAAGUCAGGGCCAGGAGCUCCCCCCUGAGCCCAGGGUAACCCUAACUGUGGGGGAGCA
Dipodomys ordii (Ord's kangaroo rat) is the source of this 62-nucleotide non-coding RNA. Lineage: Eukaryota; Metazoa; Chordata; Mammalia; Rodentia; Heteromyidae. The record is from Rfam.